CAUCACAGAGCAGUGCGCAGGAGUGGUGGAUGGCGCACACCUGGCACCUCCUGUGUUUAUAUUCCAGUGUUCGCGUGUAAUGUGAAGUAAUCUGCAUUCCUUUGACGGUGAACAGCGAGCUUGAGAAUCGGAGAGGCAGGGCAGGACGAGUGGACGGCUGGAUGUCACAAAAACAUAACGACGCUAUGAAAUGUGGAGGCAACCGGACAUUACGAACAGCCAGGUGAACAAAACGCACAAAAUCGCACCUUUCUGCCCGGGCCUGAUCACUGCUAAAGGUGUCCUGAGCCCCGCCAGCCCCGUGACGAGAGCAAAGUGGUCUUUCUCCUAGCGGACCUUGCUCACCUCCGGACAGCGACCUUGGCGUGGAUGAUAGAAAUGAA
Molecule: long non-coding RNA, 383 nt
Filed under: Portunus trituberculatus (swimming crab)
Lineage: Eukaryota; Metazoa; Arthropoda; Malacostraca; Decapoda; Portunidae
Description: uncharacterized LOC123506281, transcript variant X2
Source: RNAcentral